Molecule: unclassified non-coding RNA, 164 nt
Filed under: soil metagenome
Description: partial internal transcribed spacer 1
Source: RNAcentral
AGUUACUGAUAGCAGUAGCCCUUCGGUGGUUAAUCUCACCUACCUAUUGUGCUACAGUACCUCUUGAAUAAGUUCCACUCAUACUUAACCUGCCUCAGGAACUCUCAUUAAACAUCUUUGUAUUUACAGUAUUGAAAGUCUCUGAUACUAUUAAAAGUUAAUCA